This 497-nucleotide ribosomal RNA is filed under the name uncultured bacterium. Its description in RNAcentral is "partial 16S ribosomal RNA". It matches the Rfam family "Bacterial small subunit ribosomal RNA", at positions 28 to 507 of the family's 1533-position model. The record is from RNAcentral.
GAUGAACGCUGGCGGCGUGCUUAAUACAUGCAAGUCGAGCGAACAGACGAGGAUCUUGCUCCUCUGACAUUAGCGGCGGACGGGUGAGUAACACGUGGAUAACCUACCUAUAAGACUGUGAUAACUUCGGGAAACCGGAGCUAAUAGCGGAUAAUAUAUUUAACCGCAUGGUUCAAUAGUGAAAUUCGGUUUUGCUUGCACUUAUAGCUUGUUCCGCGCCGCAUUAGCUAGUUGGUAAGGUAACGGCUUACCAAGGCAACGAUGCGUAGCCGACCUGAGAGGGUGAUCGGCCACACUGGAGCUGAGACACGGUCCAGACUCCUAAGGGAGGCAGCAGUAGGGAAUCGUCCGCAAUGGGCGAAAACCUGACAGAGCGACGCAGCGUGAGUGAUGAAGGUCUUCGGAUUGUAAAACUCUGUUAUUAGGGAAAAACAAAUGUGUAAGUAACUAUGCACGUCUUGACGGUACCUAGUCAGAAAGCAACGGCUAACUACGUG